RNAcentral lists this long non-coding RNA (2941 nucleotides) under Marmota monax (woodchuck). Lineage: Eukaryota; Metazoa; Chordata; Mammalia; Rodentia; Sciuridae. The record is from RNAcentral.
GCCCACAGCCUCUGUCCCCUGUUGCCAAGCGCUCCCUCCGCGCUGCAACCAUCUUGACUUGGAAUCAACCACUGCACGGCCGCCUUGGAGUCCUUGCCUGGUGAAACCUCUCACGGCUGCCUCGAUAGAGUUAGGCAUACCCUGCCCCGUGUGGGACGGAGUUUUCAAUGAUUUCGUAUGUGCAGAUCCACGCUUCUGCCUGCGAUAAUAGAGGAUGCCUCCCCGCUACCCCUGCUGCCGUGGUUCUACCCAGCCUGCUGCGGACGCCUCAGCCAGGUGCGUCACCCGCACCUAGGCUGACCCGGCCCGGGCCUUGUCCCCCGCAGGUCGCUGGGGGGCGCCUGCCGAACCAGAGCCAUUCUCUCCGCGUUCGUGGGGAAUCCCGAGCGCCGCUUACAGCGGUGUUACUUCUGCAGAACGCCAGGAACCUCAACCCUAUUCCAAGAAUUAGGAUAAAACAGCACACCCUGUCGAAGUGGAGCCUGGAGUUGCAUCAUUGCUACCACCGACGUCCCCUUGGCAGCGACAGCCCCAAGCACGUUCCUGGCCCAUCGCUAAUCUCAUUCCCGGGUGCUUAGUCUUAGCUGCUCUGAUCCCCUGUCCCCCCUGCCCCCCAGCCCCGCUUCCCACCGUGACAUUGCUGUAAGGGAAGGGAGGAGAUAAAAAGGGAAAAAGUGCAUUCUGAGUCCAGGAUUAGUGGAUGAUUGUGGAAAAUUCACCACAUAAAUUUUUGGCUAAAAAUUAACUUCACUCUGCUUACCAAUAUAAGCACUCAAUGCUAGAAGAGAGGUGAAAAAGACGGGGUCCCCCGCCCCCUUAGAGGGGAACUGUCCAGUAGGAGAAUGUUUAAAUAUAUAUAGUAAUCACAACAAAAUCGCAACAGCAUGUUCCAGAAUAGAGAUACCCACAAAGUCAUCCAGCAGAUGGUGACCUCCUUUAGGUAGGGAAGAUAUUGCUGUUUGCCUCUUGCAGAGGAGAAAGCCUGCGCUGAGGGAACAAGUGCAAUAGGCAAGAAAUUGAGGCAUAGAAAGGGUGAGUGAUUUGCCCUCCAUGACCCAGCACUGCAGCAAUGCAGCAAAGGACUAGUACCAGAGCCCAGCAAGUUUGCUGGUGCAAUGAACCAAUUUGGAGACAGCUAUUCCAGACUGAUAACCAGCCUUUCCCAGAUCUCAACAAUAUGAUCCCAAGAAAUGGACUGAAGCUAAACAGAAGGAAGUUCAAAUGGUGAAGUUGUGAGGUGAAGCUGAAGCAGUUCAUUAAGGCACUUUCUCUGGCAAGGCUUAAAAGGAGGCAGGGCGGGAAAGGGAGAGAGAUACCCAUUGUUUAGCUUGGGAAUAGAUCAUCAGUUCCCCCAAGAAACAGAUAGAUGGAAGUGUCCCUUUGAAGGUUCUAUCUAUCUAAUGGACAGAUUCUCUAUUUUAAGAAAAGUAAAGAAAUACCUCCCUUGCUCAAAGCAUCCUGAGAAAGCUAGCAGUGAUUCUCAUGGGAAGAAAAGUAUAAGAGAUAUCUCUAACAGCCAACACCUGAGGAAGUCCCAUGAGCCUCUGGAAGAGGUUGAUCACUCAGAAGUCACUUUUGUGGUGUUUAAAGGGCAUAGCAUCUUGCAAAUAAACCUUAAAAAAAGGUAAUGAAAGAUGAGUAAUAAGAAUUCCAUAGUUGUUGACUAUGAGUCUUUUUUCACAGCUUUUGGUUGAAGCAGUGAAACUAGUAUUUAACAUGUAUAAAACAUUUUAGAGUAUAAAAGGAUUCUUUGGAAUAUCUUUUCUUUCUGUCUUUUCUUUUCUUUUUUUGGUACUGGAGAUGGAAUUCUUUACCACUCAGCUAUAUCCCCAGUCCUUUUACUUGCUAAGUUGCUGAGAGUCUUGCUUAGAUAUCGAGGCUGCCUUCAAACUUGCAACCCACCUGCUCUCUAUCUUUAAUCUCGCUGGGAUUGAAGGCAUGUACCACCACAGCCAGUUGAAAUAUUUUAUUCAGCCUUUAUUAUAACUUUUUGGGACAGGCAGAUUAGAAAAUACUCUCCCUAUUGUACAACAGAUGUGCAGAAUUGUCAAUAUUUUUACAGCUAGGAAAUGAUAGAGCCACUUGAACACAGGUCUUCUCUCUGAACAUCCUUACUGUUCCAUGCUGCCUCUCAAAAAAUAAAAAAUAUUCCCAUGUACUUUUCACCAGUUGUCUAGCUAAACCAGCCUUCUCCAAGAUUAUAAGAUUAUAAAUAUUGUCACUGUGUUAACAUAUAUCCUAUCAUAGUCAUAUCACUAUGUCCCUAACCAUUUUCUUAUCAACCUCCCCAUACCUGAAUGACUGUCUCUCAUCUGUCUCUCCAGACCUGUCCUUUAGAUCCUGUAUGUUUUUUUUUUUGAAUUUUUUAAUAUUUAUUUUUUAGUUUUUUCAGCGGACACAACAUCUUUGUUUGUAUGUGGUGCUGAGGAUCGAACCCCGGGCUGCAUGCAUGCCAGGCGAGCGCGCUACCGCUUGAGCCACAUCCCCAGCCCAGAUCCUGUAUGUUCCAUCAAAUCUUCUGCAACAUCUCCAGGCCAAAAUGACCCAUCAUUUCUCUAGUCUUUCUAUUAUGAAUUGCUGUAUUGCAUAGUUUGUCACCUGAUAACAAGCCUCUUAUAUCUACAUUGAAAACAAAUGGAUUUUUUUCACCUCAGCUUUAUUCUUAUGAGAAAGGUUAUUUUGCAAAAAUAAAAAAGCAAGAAUACAUGAGUUGCACUUUUCCCUGUUCAGUUGUAAUCACUAAUUGUCUCCUGAUCCUGCUUCUUUCUAGCCAGGUACCAGAAAGGCUAGUGAGAAAGAGAGUCCCCUUCUCUCAAAGCCUGAUGACAGGUGGCAUUUCUGCAGUAUAGAUUUGGGUUGGGGCAGUAGCCCAGUGUUAGAACACUUAUUGUAUAGUGUUUAUGAAACCCCAGGUUCAAUCCCCAGCAACUCAAAAACAAAC